GGCACACUGGCACUGAAACACGGGCCAGACUCCUACGGGAGGCAGCAGUGGGGAAUCUUGCACAAUGGGGGAAACCCUGAUGCAGCGACGCCGCGUGAGCGAUGAAGCCCUUCGGGGUGUAAAGCUCUUUCGGCAGGAACGAUAAUGACGGUACCUGCAGAAGAAGCUGCGGCUAACUACGUGCCAGCAGCCGCGGUAAUACGUAGGCAGCGAGCGUUGUUCGGAAUUACUGGGCGUAAAGAGUGUGUAGGUGGUGUCGUAAGUUUGGUGUGAAAUCUCCCGGCUUAACUGGGAGGGUGCGCCGAAGACUGCGAUGCUGGAGUAUGGAGAGGAAAGCGGAAUUCCUGGUGUAGCGGUGAAAUGCGUAGAUAUCAGGAGGAACACCUGCGGUGUAGACGGCUUUCUGGACCAUUACUGACACUGAGACACGAAAGCGUGGGUAGCAAACAGGAUUAGAUACCCUGGUAGUCCACGCCCUAAACGAUGCAUACUUGGUGUGAGCCAUUCAGUUGGUUCGUGCCGGAGCUAACGCGUUAAGUAUGCCGCCUGGGGAGUACGGUCGCAAGGCUGAAACUCAAAGGGAUUGACGGGGGCCCGCACAAGCGGUGGAGCAUGUGGUUCAAUUCGACGCAACGCGAAGAACCUUACCUGGGCUCGAACGGCAUUUCAACGUUCAUAGAAAUAUGGAUAUCCCGCAAGGGAGUAUUGUCGAGGUGCUGCAUGGCUGUCGUCAGCUCGUGUCGUGAGAUGUUGGGUUAAGUCCCGCAACGAGCGCAACCCUUGCCCUGUUUUGCCAUCAUUAAGUUGGGAACUAUCAGGGGACCGCCAGCGAUAAGUUGGAGGAAGGUGGGGAUGACGUCAAGUCAUCAUGGCCUUUAUGUCCAGGGCUACACACGUGCUACAAUGGACGGUACAAAGCGCUGCGAAGCCGCGAGGUGGAGCUAAUCGCAAAAAACCGUUCUCAGUUCGGAUUGCAGGCUGCAACUCGCCUGCAUGAAGCUGGAAUCGCUAGUAAUGGCAGAUCAGCAUGCUGCCGUGAAUACGUUCCCGGGCCUUGUACACACCGCCCGUCACAUCACGAAAGUGGGUUGUACUAGAAGUCUGUGCGCUAACCAGCAAUGGAGGCCACGGCCCAAGGUAUGACUCAUGAUUGGGGUGAAGUCGUAACAAGGUAGCCGUAGGAUCCUGCGGCUG
Molecule: ribosomal RNA, 1194 nt
Filed under: metagenome
Description: bacterial SSU rRNA
Rfam family: Bacterial small subunit ribosomal RNA
Source: RNAcentral